RNAcentral lists this ribosomal RNA (358 nucleotides) under Rhinosporidium seeberi. Its description in RNAcentral is "SSU rRNA". It matches the Rfam family "Eukaryotic small subunit ribosomal RNA", at positions 713 to 1073 of the family's 1831-position model. The record is from RNAcentral. Lineage: Eukaryota; Ichthyosporea; Dermocystida.
GACGUAACUGUCGUGUGCGUCCGUCUUAUUUCGGGACUUUUACUGUGAAAAAAUUAGAGUGUUCAAAGCAGGCGAUUGCUUGAAUAUUUCAGCAUGGAAUAAUGGAAUAGGACAUUGGUUCUAUUUUGUUGGUUUCUAGGACCAAAGUAAUGAUUAAUAGGGAUAGUUGGGGGCAUUAGUAUUUAAUUGUCAGAGGUGAAAUUCUUGGAUUUAUGAAAGACUAACUUCUGCGAAAGCAUUUGCCAAGGAUGUUUUCAUUAAUCAAGAACGAAAGUUAGGGGAUCGAAGAUGAUCAGAUACCGUCGUAGUCCUAACCAUAAACUAUGCCGACUAGGGAUUGGUAGAUGUUAAUUCAAUG